Molecule: transfer RNA, 72 nt
Organism: Ovis aries (sheep)
Lineage: Eukaryota; Metazoa; Chordata; Mammalia; Artiodactyla; Bovidae
Rfam family: tRNA
About the family: Transfer RNA (tRNA) molecules are approximately 80 nucleotides in length. Their secondary structure includes four short double-helical elements and three loops (D, anti-codon, and T loops). Further hydrogen bonds mediate the characteristic L-shaped molecular structure. tRNAs have two regions of fundamental functional importance: the anti-codon, which is responsible for specific mRNA codon recognition, and the 3' end, to which the tRNAs corresponding amino acid is attached (by aminoacyl-tRNA synthetases). tRNAs cope with the degeneracy of the genetic code in two manners: having more than one tRNA (with a specific anti-codon) for a particular amino acid; and 'wobble' base-pairing, i.e. permitting non-standard base-pairing at the 3rd anti-codon position.
Source: Rfam
UCCCUGGUGGUCCAAUGGUUGAGAAUCUGCCUUCCAAUGCAGGAGACUCUGGUUCGAUUCCUGGUCAGGGAA